This 465-nucleotide ribosomal RNA is filed under the name uncultured bacterium. Its description in RNAcentral is "partial 16S ribosomal RNA". It matches the Rfam family "Bacterial small subunit ribosomal RNA", at positions 28 to 507 of the family's 1533-position model. The record is from RNAcentral.
GACGAACGCUGGCGGCGUGCUUAACACAUGCAAGUCGUACGGUAAGGCCCUUUCGGGGGUACACGAGUGGCGAACGGGUGAGUAACACGUGAGUAACCUGCCCACAACUUUGGGAUAACGCUAGGAAACUGGUGCCAAUACUGGAUAUGUGCUCCUGCUUCAUGGUGGGGGUUGGAAAGCUCCGGCGGUUGUGGAUGGACUCGCGGCCUAUCGGCUUGUUGGUGGGGUAGUGGCCUACCAAGGCGGCGACGGGUAGCCGGCCUGCGAGGGUGACCGGCCACAUUGGGACUGAGAGACGGCCCAGACUCCGACGGGAGGCAGAAGUGGGGAAUAUUGCACCAUGGGCGCCAGCCUGAUGCAGCAACGCCGCGUGCGGGAUGACGGCCUUCGGGUUGGAAACCGCUUUCAGCAGGGACGAAGCUUUUUGUGACGGUACCUGCAGAAGAAGCACCGGCUAACUACGUG